RNAcentral lists this ribosomal RNA (486 nucleotides) under uncultured bacterium. RNAcentral describes it as "bacterial SSU rRNA". It matches the Rfam family "Bacterial small subunit ribosomal RNA", at positions 33 to 507 of the family's 1533-position model. The record is from RNAcentral.
GACGACGCUGGCGGCGUGGAUUAGGCAUGCAAGUCGAACGGUAUCAUCCUUUCGGGGAUGAGAGAGUGGCGAACGGGUGAGUAACACGUAGGUGAUCUACCUCAAGACGGGACAACCCAGGGAAACUUGGGCUAAUACCGGAUGUGAGCUAUCGCGAGAUAGUUUGAAAGGUGGCUUCGGCUGCCGCUUGGGGAUGAGCCUGCGUCCUAUUAGCUAGUUGGUGAGGUAACGGCUCACCGAGGCAGUGAGUAGGUAGGCGGCCUUAACGGGUGGUCGCCCACACUGGGAUUGAGAUACGGCCCAGACUCCUACGGGAGGCAGCAGUCGAGAAUAGUCUACAAUGGUCGAAAGACUGAUAGUGCGACGCCGCGUGAACGAAGAAGCCCUUCGGGGUGUAAAGUUCUUUUAUAUGUGAGCAGUGACAUCUAUAUUAAUAGUAUGGGUGUAGAGAUAUUAGCAUAUGAAUAAGCAACGGCUAACUCCGUG